RNAcentral lists this ribosomal RNA (722 nucleotides) under Priestia flexa. RNAcentral's name for it is "bacterial SSU rRNA". It matches the Rfam family "Bacterial small subunit ribosomal RNA", at positions 53 to 756 of the family's 1533-position model. Lineage: Bacteria; Bacillati; Bacillota; Bacilli; Caryophanales; Bacillaceae. The record is from RNAcentral.
ACAUGCAAGUCGAGCGGACUUGUUAGAAGCUUGCUUCUAACAAGUUAGCGGCGGACGGGUGAGUAACACGUGGGUAACCUGCCUGUAAGAUGGGGAUAACUCCGGGAAACCGGAGCUAAUACCGAAUAACACUUUCGCUCGCAUGAGCGGAUGUUAAAAGACGGUUUCGGCUGUCACUUACAGAUGGACCCGCGGCGCAUUAGCUAGUUGGUGAGGUAACGGCUCACCAAGGCGACGAUGCGUAGCCGACCUGAGAGGGUGAUCGGCCACACUGGGACUGAGACACGGCCCAGACUCCUACGGGAGGCAGCAGUAGGGAAUCUUCCGCAAUGGACGAAAGUCUGACGGAGCAACGCCGCGUGAGUGAUGAAGGUUUUCGGAUCGUAAAACUCUGUUGUUAGGGAAGAACAAGUAUGAGAGUAACUGCUCGUACCUUGACGGUACCUAACCAGAAAGCCACGGCUAACUACGUGCCAGCAGCCGCGGUAAUACGUAGGUGGCAAGCGUUGUCCGGAAUUAUUGGGCGUAAAGCGCGCGCAGGCGGUUCCUUAAGUCUGAUGUGAAAGCCCACGGCUCAACCGUGGAGGGUCAUUGGAAACUGGGGAACUUGAGUGCAGAAGAGGAAAGCGGAAUUCCACGUGUAGCGGUGAAAUGCGUAGAGAUGUGGAGGAACACCAGUGGCGAAGGCGGCUUUCUGGUCUGUAACUGACGCUGAGGCGCGU